Molecule: long non-coding RNA, 700 nt
Organism: Drosophila mauritiana
Lineage: Eukaryota; Metazoa; Arthropoda; Insecta; Diptera; Drosophilidae
Exons: 4
Source: RefSeq, a predicted model, not a curated record
GCUGCUCAAAGUGAAACGGCCAAACGAAGAAGACGUAUCGUGUGUGCUCAGACUUGUGCUCUCAAAAUUUUUGGUCAACUACAUUAUUCAGCUCUGGUAGCGAAACAACAACAACAACUACUACUACUCACACUUAACAACAUUUAGAAUUGUAACUAAAACAGAUCACAAGCCAAAAACAAACAAAGAAAAACCUAAAGAAAUAUCAACCAAAAGUGUGCAAAUCAAAAAGAUUCUACAAUCCGAAUCGAAAACAAAAACAUAAGAACCACAAAAGCAGCAGCAGCAGAAAGAGAGAGAGAAAGAGAGAGAGAGCAGCGAAAAGUUAACUGCGAAUUCAUCGGCUGAAGCAAAGCAGCGGAGCCCAAGUGCAAGCGAGACGGCAGCAGAGCUCCGCUGCAAGGCAACGGGAUAGACAGAGAGAUAAAUAGAGAGACAGCGCAGCAGCGAUAAAGAGUUUGAGCAGGCGGGAGAGCGAGUAACGGCGGCGACAGCAACACAGCCACAAAAGAGAACGAGUGAGGGAGGGAGAGCUAGACGACGACCUACUACACAAAAAAAGGCUCCCGUGGUGGCGAUUGCCAGCGUCUGCGACAACCAAGAAAACAAAAAAGAAAAACCAUUCAAAUAAUUAAGACUGCUAAACGGAACAACUAAAAACUACAAGCAAAUUUAACCAGGAGAAAAGAAAGGAAGACUA